RNAcentral lists this ribosomal RNA (429 nucleotides) under Triticum aestivum (bread wheat). RNAcentral's name for it is "partial small subunit ribosomal RNA". Lineage: Eukaryota; Viridiplantae; Streptophyta; Magnoliopsida; Poales; Poaceae. The record is from RNAcentral.
AUGACUAGGGAUAACCUUAGGAAGAGACACAUCAUCAAACCCCUUGAUUGUGUUUACUGCUUGGAACAAGAGUCUUGUUCUCACCUAUUUUUUCAAUGUAUAGUUGCUAAACAUCUCUGGGCCCAUAUUGAGGAAUAUUUCUCUAGUCAGAUUGGCUCAUCCUUCGAAUCUGUCGCUGGAUUCUGGAUUGCUACCAAAAAUUUAAACACUAUUAGCUCAGUUGUCCUUUGGUGCCUCUGGAAAUAUAGAAAUGCUAUGAUUUUCAGUAACACCUCCUGAAUUUCCAUUCCGCGGGUCUUGAGAUUGAUCAGGAACAUGGUGAGGAACUGGGCGAUUCUCUCCUCCGGAUCGGACAAGGACAAGUUGAUGAGCUUCGUGGAAACCCUAACAAGAUCCCUCCAGAAACCGUUGGCGAUCACUUGUGGUUGA